AGUGGAAUUGCUGGAUCAUAUGGUAGUUCUGUUUUUAAUUUUUUCAGGAAGACCCAUACUUUUUUCCAUAAUGACUGUACUAAUUUACAUUCCUACCAACAAU
This 103-nucleotide microRNA precursor is filed under the name Marmota monax (woodchuck). The record is from RNAcentral. Lineage: Eukaryota; Metazoa; Chordata; Mammalia; Rodentia; Sciuridae.